GAUGAACGCUGGCGGCGUGCCUAAUACAUGCAAGUCGAGCGAACAGACGAGGAGCUUGCUCCUCUGACGUUAGCGGCGGACGGGUGAGUAACACGUGGAUAACCUACCUAUGAGACUGGGAUAACUUCGGGAAACCGGAGCUAAUACCGGAUAAUAUAUUGAACCGCAUGGUUCAAUAGUGAAAGACGGUUUUGCUGUCACUUAUAGAUGGAUCCGCGCCGCAUAGCUAGUUGGUAAGGUAACGGCUUACCAAGGCGACGAGGCGUAGCCGACCUGAGAGGGUGAUCGGCCACACUGGAACUGGGACACGGUCCAUACUCCUACGGGAGGCAGCAGUAGGGAAUCUUCCGCAAUGGGGGAAAGCCUGACGGAGCAACGCCGCGUGAGUGAUGAAGGUCUUCGGAUCGUAAAACUCUGUUAUUAGGGAAGAACAAAUGUGUAAGUAAAUAUGCACGUCUUGACGGUACCUAAUCAGAAAGCCACGGCUAACUACGUG
This 496-nucleotide ribosomal RNA is filed under the name uncultured bacterium. RNAcentral's name for it is "partial 16S ribosomal RNA". It matches the Rfam family "Bacterial small subunit ribosomal RNA", at positions 28 to 507 of the family's 1533-position model. The record is from RNAcentral.